This is a non-coding RNA of Python bivittatus (Burmese python), 567 nucleotides long. Lineage: Eukaryota; Metazoa; Chordata; Lepidosauria; Squamata; Pythonidae. The record is from RefSeq and is a predicted model, not a curated record.
GGAAGCGGUUUAAUUUGCAGCGCCUUCCGUUUGCAUUGGAGGUUUGCAUUGGAGUUGGAGUUCGCAGAAAGGUUGGGUACGUCAGGAGAAACAGAAAAGCAAGUUGAAAGCUGGGAGAAAGGGCUCCUGAAGAAAUGUGAGGGGUAAAACAAGAAGACAGCGGAUCAAGAGGGAUCGGCAGUUGAAGAAAUGGGGACUGAGUAGAAAAUGAGUGACCGGUUUGAAAGAGGGGCCACUGCCCUUUCAUUCUGGACCAGAAAUAGGAUCUUAAGUGCAAUAAGGAUGAAGUCCAGGAGAAGGCAUCCAGGCCAGAUCAUAAAAGAGGAACCUCUUUCAGAUUUGCCCCCUUUUCAGGCAGUGAGUAUAAAAGGGCGGACUGAUUAGCAGAGGACCGAGCAGGAGAGGUGGAAGCCAUCCAUCGCCUCUGCCCACCAGCUUUGACUCCUCUACUGCCUGUCCUCUCGGCACUAUGGGGAAGAACCAGAUCCUUGCAGGGCCCUGCCUUCUUCUCCUGGGGUUGUUCCUCCUUCCUGGAGAGACCUUAGCCUCUACCGCACAACCGUAAGC